GACGAACGCUGGCGGCGUGCCUAAUACAUGCAAGUCGAACGCAGUGGGGACGGGUGAGUAACACGUGGGUAACCUCCCAUCAGAGGGGAUAACACUUGGAAACAGGUGCUAAACCGAUACUGAUGGAUGGACCGGCGGGGGAUUAGCUAGGGGGUGGGGUAACGGCUCACCAAGGCCACGAGGCAUAGCCGACCGGAAAGGGGGAUCGGCGACACUGGGACGGAGACACGGCCCAGACUCCUACGGGAGGCAGCAGUAGGGAAUCGUCGGCAAUGGACGAAAGUCUGACCGAGCAACGCCGCGUGAGUGAAGAAGGUUUUCGGAUCGUAAAACUCUGUUGUGAGAGAAGCGGUAUCUAACCAGAAAGCCACGGCUAACUCCGUGCCAGCAGCCGCGGUAAUAC
This 403-nucleotide ribosomal RNA is filed under the name uncultured bacterium. RNAcentral describes it as "partial 16S ribosomal RNA". It matches the Rfam family "Bacterial small subunit ribosomal RNA", at positions 28 to 526 of the family's 1533-position model. The record is from RNAcentral.